Molecule: ribosomal RNA, 1343 nt
Filed under: uncultured bacterium
Lineage: Bacteria
Description: 16S ribosomal RNA
Rfam family: Bacterial small subunit ribosomal RNA
Source: RNAcentral
GACGAACGCUGGCGGCGUGCUUAACACAUGCAAGUCGAACGGAAAGGCCCUGCUUUUGUGGGGUGCUCGAGUGGCGAACGGGUGAGUAACACGUGAGUAACCUGCCCUUGACUUUGGGAUAACUUCAGGAAACUGGGGCUAAUACCGGAUAGGAGCUCCUGCUGCAUGGUGGGGGUUGGAAAGUUUCGGCGGUUGGGGAUGGACUCGCGGCUUAUCAGCUUGUUGGUGGGGUAGUGGCUUACCAAGGCUUUGACGGGUAGCCGGCCUGAGAGGGUGACCGGCCACAUUGGGACUGAGAUACGGCCCAGACUCCUACGGGAGGCAGCAGUGGGGAAUAUUGCACAAUGGGCGGAAGCCUGAUGCAGCAACGCCGCGUGCGGGAUGACGGCCUUCGGGUUGUAAACCGCUUUCGCCUGUGACGAAGCGUGAGUGACGGUAAUGGGUAAAGAAGCACCGGCUAACUACGUGCCAGCAGCCGCGGUGAUACGUAGGGUGCGAGCGUUGUCCGGAUUUAUUGGGCGUAAAGGGCUCGUAGGUGGUUGAUCGCGUCGGAAGUGUAAUCUUGGGGCUUAACCCUGAGCGUGCUUUCGAUACGGGUUGACUUGAGGAAGGUAGGGGAGAAUGGAAUUCCUGGUGGAGCGGUGGAAUGCGCAGAUAUCAGGAGGAACACCAGUGGCGAAGGCGGUUCUCUGGGCCUUUCCUGACGCUGAGGAGCGAAAGCGUGGGGAGCGAACAGGCUUAGAUACCCUGGUAGUCCACGCUGUAAACGGUGGGUACUAGGUGUGGGGUCCAUUCCACGGGUUCCGUGCCGUAGCUAACGCUUUAAGUACCCCGCCUGGGGAGUACGGCCGCAAGGCUAAAACUCAAAGGAAUUGACGGGGCCCCGCACAAGCGGCGGAGCAUGCGGAUUAAUUCGAUGCAACGCGUAGAACCUUACCUGGGUUUGACAUGGAUCGGGAGUGCUCAGAGAUGGGUGUGCCUCUUUUGGGGUCGGUUCACAGGUGGUGCAUGGCUGUCGUCAGCUCGUGUCGUGAGAUGUUGGGUUAAGUCCCGCAACGAGCGCAACCCUUGUUCACUGUUGCCAGCACGUUAUGGUGGGGACUCAGUGGAGACCGCCGGGGUCAACUCGGAGGAAGGUGGGGAUGACGUCAAGUCAUCAUGCCCCUUAUGUCCAGGGCUUCACGCAUGCUACAAUGGCUGGUACAGAGAGUGGCGAGCCUGUGAGGGUGAGCGAAUCUCGGAAAGCCGGUCUCAGUUCGGAUUGAGGUCUGCAACUCGACCUCAUGAAGUCGGAGUCGCUAGUAAUCGCAGAUCAGCAACGCUGCGGUGAAUACGUUCCCGGG